UGUCGGAGUGCUUAUUUUCCACGAAAGCUUGAAGUGGAAAAGGCUGAGACCGUUAAUUCGGGAUCCGCGGAACCUGAUCAGGUUAAAACCUGCGAAGGGAACAAGAGUAAU
This 111-nucleotide non-coding RNA is filed under the name Citrobacter farmeri. The record is from RNAcentral. Lineage: Bacteria; Pseudomonadati; Pseudomonadota; Gammaproteobacteria; Enterobacterales; Enterobacteriaceae. RNAcentral also lists the same sequence under 1 other name.